Molecule: ribosomal RNA, 466 nt
Filed under: Clostridioides difficile
Lineage: Bacteria; Bacillati; Bacillota; Clostridia; Peptostreptococcales; Peptostreptococcaceae
Description: bacterial LSU rRNA
Rfam family: Bacterial large subunit ribosomal RNA
Source: RNAcentral
CGUGGAGGUCCGAACCCACGAGCGUUGAAAAGCUCGGGGAUGACUUGUGGGUAGCGGUGAAAUUCCAAUCGAGCCCGGAGAUAGCUGGUUCUCCCCGAAAUAGCUUUAGGGCUAGCCUCAAGGUGAGAGAUACGGAGGUAGAGCACUGAAUGUCCUAGGGGGUAUUGCACCUACCGAAGACUAUCAAACUCCGAAUGCCGUCAUCUUAUACUUGGGAGUCAGACUGUGGGUGAUAAGAUUCAUAGUCGAAAGGGCAACAGCCCAGAUCGUCAGCUAAGGUCCCUAAAUGUAAGUUAAGUGGUAAAGGAUGUGGGAUUGCACAGACAACCAGGAUGUUGGCUUAGAAGCAGCCACUCAUUCAAAGAGUGCGUAAUAGCUCACUGGUCGAGUGAUCCUGCGCCGAAGAUUUCCGGGGCUAAAACUUACUACCGAAGCUACGGCAUCAGUAAUGAUGGGUAGGGGAGCU